RNAcentral lists this unclassified non-coding RNA (21 nucleotides) under Mus musculus (house mouse). RNAcentral describes it as "oocyte_clustered_small_RNA12646". Lineage: Eukaryota; Metazoa; Chordata; Mammalia; Rodentia; Muridae. The record is from RNAcentral.
ACAAGAUACCAGGCCACUAGA